UAGUGGUGAAGUCUGAGAUUUUAGUCCACCUGUCACCCGCUGUUCGAAUUUUCUUAGCAUAGUUGUCUAUGCUAAGAAAACUUUUCGCUCAGAAAAUAUUCUAAGGGAGAACUAAAUAAAGGUUCAUGCUUUAUAUGGUAUGUUUAGACCGAGAGAAGCAAGAAUGAGAAGAAACGAAGAGAAAGAAGGAAAGAUGAAAAUGAAUACAAGAUAUGUAGUCAUGCUUGCUACCUCUUCAUGGUGAGUGGGAAGUGGCCCAGGCCACUCACAAGUGAGCCUGCUCGGUGCUUCCCCAGCUGGGCUGCAGUGAGGUACUAUGCCUUGGAGUAGUCUUUGAGCAACGGGAAAGAGGAGGGACUUGUAUUUCCCUCUCUGCUGUCUUUUGUUUCCUAUUAGUAAAGGUUAGCCCAGGUGUAUCAGUUACGGUUUAACCAGAGAAGCAGAACCAAGAGAAAGAUUUUACAUGGGAUUUGUCCCAGGGAAUUGGUUUAUGCAGUUGUGGGAGUUGGUAAAAUGGUGUUCAAAAAGCUGUCUCCAUGUGUAAUGCUGGAGCUUCAAGCCCACUGGGCAGGCGAUCUGAAAGGGAAGAGCAUGGGUAAGCUGUGAGCCCUUGAGGGUGGACUGAAGCUGCAGCCAUUUUUGUUCCCUCUCACUCUCAUGUACAGGGUGGUCUUGUGCAAACCGGAGUGCUUCCUCACAGAGCUAAACACGUACACCUGGCCCAGGAGUCAGACAAGCUGAAGGCAAACUGGGAAGAUAGAUCAAUUUCAGGUCCACAUGCUGCUUCAGGCUAAUGUGGUGAAUUACCCCAUCAGCAACAGGGGUCAGCUGCAAAAUGGUCGCUGCCUUCCUUCUGCCUUCUCAGUCUCAGAAUGGCCACUGCCUUCCUUCUGCCUUCUCAAUCUCAAAAUGGCCACUGCCUUCCUUCUCCGUUCUAAACAGGUGUUGAUUUCUCAUAAACACCCUGCACCCAAACACGAUCUCAGCAUCUACAGAAGCCAAACUGUGACACUCACACUGCAGGACGCUCCCAGGACCUGGCUGAGUGUGAGGAUGCACACCUGACAUCAUCCAAGCUAGACCAGAGACUCUUCCCUGCGGAUUGAGAAUGGUGCUGGAGAGUACUGGUUCAACUCUGCAAUGAGGCCAGACUUAGGAUGACAUUAUUGCGUACCUGGCAUGAAAAGAGAGUACCUGGAACUUUUAUGAGACCAUCCCACCCCUCCAUGCCCUCCUUCCUUCAUCCUUUCUAUAUACUUAUAUAAUGCAUUUUAAAUAAAAUCAAUAAUCAGUGUUA
Macaca mulatta (Rhesus monkey) is the source of this 1297-nucleotide non-coding RNA. NCBI's taxonomy places the organism in Eukaryota, Metazoa, Chordata, Mammalia, Primates, Cercopithecidae. The record is from RefSeq and is a predicted model, not a curated record.